RNAcentral lists this ribosomal RNA (241 nucleotides) under uncultured bacterium. RNAcentral describes it as "partial 16S ribosomal RNA". It matches the Rfam family "Bacterial small subunit ribosomal RNA", at positions 15 to 252 of the family's 1533-position model. The record is from RNAcentral.
GAUCAUGGCUCAGAUUGAACGCUGGCGGCAGGCCUAACACAUGCAAGUCGAACGGUAGCACAGAGGAGCUUGCUCCUUGGGUGACGAGUGGCGGACGGGUGAGUAAUGUCUGGGAAACUGCCCGAUGGAGGGGGAUAACUACUGGAAACGGUAGCUAAUACCGCAUAACGUCGCAAGACCAAAGAGGGGGACCUUCGGGCCUCUUGCCAUCGGAUGUGCCCAGAUGGGAUUAGCUAGUAGG